AGGAUUAACGCUGGCGGCGUGCAUGAAACAUGCAAGUCGAGCGCGGCGCGUGGCUUCGGUCACGCGUCUAGCGGCGCACGGGUGAGUAACACGUGAGCAACCUACCUUCGAGUUCGGGAUAGCCCUGGGAAACCAGGAUUAAUACCGGAUGUGGUCACAACGGGACAUCCCGAUGUGAAAAAAGGCGUAAGCCGCUCGAUGACGGGCUCGCGGCCUAUUAGCUUGUUGGUGGGGUAACGGCCUACCAAGGCGACGAUGGGUAGCUGGUCUGAGAGGACGAUCAGCCACACUGGGACUGAGACACGGCCCAGACUCCUACGGGAGGCAGCAGUUAGGAAUUUUCCGCAAUGGGCGAAAGCCUGACGGAGCAACGCCGCGUGUGUGAUGAAGGCCUUCGGGUUGUAAAGCACUGUCGGAGGGAAGAAUGAAUGACGGUACCCUCCAAGAAAGCCCGGCUAACUACGCGCCAGCAGCCGC
RNAcentral lists this ribosomal RNA (477 nucleotides) under uncultured bacterium. RNAcentral's name for it is "SSU rRNA". It matches the Rfam family "Bacterial small subunit ribosomal RNA", at positions 26 to 518 of the family's 1533-position model. The record is from RNAcentral.